CUUAAGCAGGCUGCAAAGCAGAGAGUAGAAAAACAAAAGGAAAAGCUUCUAGGAUCUGUUUUGCUCAGAGAGUUGCUGUAAGAGAGCAAGGCUCCCUGACUCUGCAGGGAAGGUGCUGGUGAGUCUAAGCAUGAAUUCUUCAAGGAAAGCCACAAAAGAACUUAGGAGAGAUGCUGUAAACUGUUCUGCAAGGGAAUAAGCAGCUUCCUACUAGCCUAGGACACCACUAUGUGGAGAGUGGGAUCAUGGCCAGCAACUCUAAACUGAAGAUGGUGUGUGCGCCAGUGCAGGAAGUGCCUCUUCCCUUGUGUAUGCACCGCCUCUAGCACAGUGGUGCUCAACCUUCCAGCCCUGCGGGCCGGAUGAAUGGCACGUGUGAUCCUGUGUGCUGGCCCGACCCAACACACUGGGUCUGGUUGCAGGGUGACUACCCCGCUGUGGCUCAGUGAUCUAGUGGUUUGGGCCACAUCAUCUAGCUGGCAGGGCUCCCCACAGGUUCAGAAAUUUGACAGAAGAGCAAUGGCAAUUAAUGCCACCACCACACCCAGGGCCGGAUUAAUGCAUAUGCACAUUAGGUACGUGCCUAGGGCCCUAAGUGAAGAAGGGGCCAAGUUGUGCUUAUUUUACAUAUUAUAAUAUAAAUAUACAGUAUUAAGUAGGGGCCCAUGGUUUUCUUUGCUUAAGGCCCACGAAGGAUUAAUCCAGCCUUGACCA
This is a long non-coding RNA of Alligator sinensis (Chinese alligator), 714 nucleotides long. RefSeq lists it as uncharacterized. The record is from RefSeq and is a predicted model, not a curated record. NCBI's taxonomy places the organism in Eukaryota, Metazoa, Chordata, Crocodylia, Alligatoridae. The transcript is spliced from 3 exons.